CUCACGCUUCCUCUCUCUCACACUCACAAGUUACCUUUUAUUUUGAAAACACCAUAACACAUUCUUUAUAUAUUCAUUUUUUCUCUCUAACAGUAACCAAAAAACCUGCUCUCUCUCUCACCAAAAAAUAAGAAUACAUAAAAACUCUCUCUCAGAAAGAGAAAGAAAAACAAAAGGAGGAGAACUUUCUUCCUCCAUCCAUUUUCGUCGGUGAUACCCCACCACACAAACCAACCUCGCCGCGGUUUCCACCACCUCCAUUAACUCCACAAAACCCACUUUCUCUCCAAUGACCUCCUUGGCUGGAAAACGAAAAACUCUCACGUGACCACCGAACCGCCGCGACCUCCUUCACAGCCCCACUCACCUCCCUCCAUCGCCGUGAACACAACACCACAUCACCGAAAUCUACUUCGUCUCUUACAACACAACCUCACCGGAAACUUCUGGAAUUUCACGGAGAAUCUCUUCGAAUCGGUAGCAAAUUUCCGUCGUCGGUAAGUAGUUCAAAGAUGGAUACACUCUUGCCGACAACAACAACCAAACGGUACACAACUCAAGCACCUGUGCAAAAUCGAUGUUGAUUGUUCGGUAAUCUCCUUUUAUUGCGUGAUUGGAUUUGCUUUGUUUUGUUCAUUUGAUUUCUGAAGUUAAUAUGAUUUAUGUUGAUUUGGUUAUGAGGUUGAUCUUUGUAGAUUGUUCGGUAAUCUCCUUUUAUUGCGUGAUUGGAUUUGCUUUGUUUUGUUCAUUUGAUUUCUGAAGUUAAUAUGAUUUAUGUUGAUUUGGUUAUGAGGUUGAUCUUUGUUUAUUAUGGGGAAGAGGUUGAUGUUACCAUUCUUGAUAUGAUAAUAAUGUUUCUUACUCCUUAUUCACUUAUGGAAACAUUUGGGUGUUUCGAUUGAUUACAGUAAAGGCAUGUUAAAGUUUUAUCCAU
This 934-nucleotide long non-coding RNA is filed under the name Lathyrus oleraceus (garden pea). RNAcentral describes it as "Pisum sativum (pea) long non-coding RNA (PSAT_LNC001788)". The record is from RNAcentral. Lineage: Eukaryota; Viridiplantae; Streptophyta; Magnoliopsida; Fabales; Fabaceae.